CCUACGGGAGGCAGCAGUGAGGAAUAUUGGUCAAUGGACGAGAGUCUGAACCAGCCAAGUAGCGUGAAGGAUGACUGCCCUAUGGGUUGUAAACUUCUUUUAUAUGGGAAUAAAACGUUCCACGUGUGGGAUUUUGUAUGUACCAUAUGAAUAAGGAUCGGCUAACUCCGUGCCAGCAGCCGCGGUAAUACGGAGGAUCCGAGCGUUAUCCGGAUUUAUUGGGUUUAAAGGGAGCGUAGGUGGAUUGUUAAGUCAGUUGUGAAAGUUUGCGGCUAAACCGUAAAAUUGCAGUUGAAACUGGCAGUCUUGAGUACAGUAGAGGUGGGCGGAAUUCGUGGUGUAGCGGUGAAAUGCUUAGAUAUCACGAAGAACUCCGAUUGCGAAGGCAGUUCACUGGACUGCAACUGACACUGAGGCUCGAAAGUGUGGGUAUCAAACAGGAUUAGAUACCCCUGUAGUC
Molecule: ribosomal RNA, 460 nt
Filed under: uncultured bacterium
Lineage: Bacteria
Description: partial 16S ribosomal RNA
Rfam family: Bacterial small subunit ribosomal RNA
Source: RNAcentral